UACAGAGACCUCAAGCAUUAUCCGGAUUUAUUGGGCGUAAAGGGUCCGCAGGUGGUCGUGCACGUCGGAAGUUAAAUGGUUGGGCUCAACCCAGCCACCGCUUUCGAUACGACAUGACUAGAGGCCGGGAGAGGUAAGCGGAAUUGCCGGUGUAGUAGUAAUAUGCGUUAAUAUCGGCAAGAACACCAAAUGCGAAGGCAGCUUACUGGAACGCGCCUGACACUCAGGGACGAAAGCGUGGGGAGCGAAAGGG
RNAcentral lists this ribosomal RNA (253 nucleotides) under uncultured bacterium. RNAcentral's name for it is "partial 16S ribosomal RNA". It matches the Rfam family "Bacterial small subunit ribosomal RNA", at positions 524 to 776 of the family's 1533-position model. The record is from RNAcentral.